Molecule: long non-coding RNA, 113 nt
Organism: Amphimedon queenslandica
Lineage: Eukaryota; Metazoa; Porifera; Demospongiae; Haplosclerida; Niphatidae
Exons: 2
Source: RefSeq, a predicted model, not a curated record
GUGAGACACAAUGGAUGAAUCAUUUACUGAUCUUGAUUCUACUCUCAAUACUUGUACACUAUCAGUAGCUCCUCCUUUUCCUCCUACUCCAAUGAGAGCUCCUCCCACUAAAA